Molecule: long non-coding RNA, 103 nt
Organism: Gopherus evgoodei (Goodes thornscrub tortoise)
Lineage: Eukaryota; Metazoa; Chordata; Testudines; Testudinidae
Exons: 3
Source: RefSeq, a predicted model, not a curated record
CUGACUCACAUGGCAUAGCUGCCUUCUUUCAAUGGAUCAAUUGUAUAGCUGAUGAUCCUUAAUGGGCCAUCAAGCAGGCUAGGCAGAGCUAACACCAGCUUGU